Molecule: RNA transcript, 4236 nt
Organism: Amborella trichopoda
Lineage: Eukaryota; Viridiplantae; Streptophyta; Magnoliopsida; Amborellales; Amborellaceae
Gene name: P-loop containing nucleoside triphosphate hydrolases superfamily protein
Source: RefSeq, a predicted model, not a curated record
AAGAAAACAAAAAGAUACGACUGCAAGCGGUGGAAACAGGAUUGAUGGGAAUUUGAUGACAGAGGGAGCCGGCCAUCUGCAGGGCCUGUGCCAUUCGCAUCAUACUACUUUCUCUCUCUAACUUGACUAUCUCUCUCUAACCGUCUGUUUUCCCUUCUUUCCCAUUUCAGCCCGCCAUUAUCUCUCUCCUCCUUCCCUGUGAUCUCCCCUCUUCCUCAAGCUACACAUUCUCUCUCUUACUUGAUCGCAGGCCUUUCUCUCUCUACAACCGCAUCAUUUUUCUCUCUCCACUUUAUCGCAGGUUUCCUCUCUCUUGUGGCUCUUCUUGAGGGAGUGAGACCUCAAUCAGAAGAAUUUAUCUCUCCCUCUCUUUCUUUGUCACUCUACAAUGUCUUCGAGGUCUCAGCGAUCUUCGAGCAGUAUUUCUCCAUUUCGAUUGAGAAAUAAGCAGCCUUCUUCUGUUAAGAGGCCCGCCACUCCUCCCUCCUCCACCUCUUCUACGCGCCCUCCUCCCCCCUCGAAGUCCUCUGUCUCUCCCUCCACUCCAUCUUAUGACAAGCUUGAAGUCGGUAAAUCCAAGGAGAAUGUCACUGUUACUGUUAGAUUUCGCCCUCUCAGUGCUCGUGAGAUAAACAAGGGGGACGAGAUCGCCUGGUAUGCUGAUGGAGACUACACAGUCCAGAAUGAGUAUAAUCCAUUGGUAGCAUAUGGUUUUGAUAGAGUGUUUGGUCCAGCGACAACCACUCGUCAUGUGUAUGAUGUUGCUGCUCAGCAUGUUGUGAGUGGUGCAAUGGAAGGCAUUAAUGGCACUGUAUUUGCUUAUGGUGUUACUAGCAGUGGAAAGACUCAUACAAUGCAUGGUGAACAAAAGUCACCAGGAAUAAUCCCAUUGGCAGUGAAGGAUGUAUUUGGCAUCAUACAGGAGACACCUGGAAGGGAGUUUCUUUUGCGUGUUUCAUACCUAGAAAUAUACAAUGAGGUUAUUAAUGACUUGUUAGAUCCCACAGGCCAGAAUUUAAGGAUUCGUGAAGAUGCACAGGGAACAUAUGUGGAGGGUAUUAAAGAAGAGGUUGUUCUAUCUCCUGCCCAUGCUCUUUCAUUGAUAGCUUCAGGAGAAGAGCAUAGGCAUGUGGGAUCGAAUAAUUUUAAUUUGCUCAGCAGUCGGAGCCAUACGAUUUUUACCUUGACUAUAGAAAGUAGUGCACGGGAUGAUCAGGGAGAAGAGGAUGUCACACUAUCUCAGUUGAACUUGAUUGAUCUUGCAGGAUCUGAAAGUUCAAAGACAGAAACAACUGGGUUACGAAGGAAAGAGGGCUCUUACAUAAAUAAAAGCCUGCUCACACUUGGGACUGUAAUUGCUAAACUAACUGAUGGUAAGGCGACACAUAUACCAUACAGAGAUUCAAAACUAACACGCUUGCUGCAAUCCUCUUUGAGUGGACAUGGUCGAGUGUCACUAAUUUGUACACUAACACCUGCUUCUAGCAAUAGCGAGGAGACGCACAAUACAUUGAAAUUUGCACAUCGAAGCAAGCAUGUUGAAAUAAAAGCUUCACAAAAUAAGAUAAUGGAUGAGAAGUCUUUGAUAAAGAAGUAUCAGAAGGAGAUUUCCAGCUUAAAACAAGAGCUUCAGCAGCUGAAGAGGGGCAUAAUUGAUAAGCCAUAUUUGACUGCAUCUAGCCAGGAGGAUCUUGUCAAUCUGAAGCUUCAGCUGGAGGCUGGCCAAGUCAAAUUGCAAUCAAGAUUGGAAGAGGAGGAACAAGCAAAAGCUGCUCUGAUGGGGAGGAUCCAACGGCUGACAAAACUUAUCCUCGUUUCUACAAAGAACACUAUUGCGACAAACAUUCCUGAAAAGGCUGGUCAUCGGCGACGCCAUUCAUUUGGUGAAGAUGAGUUGGCAUACCUUCCAGAUAGGAAGCGAGAAUACAUGGUUGAUGACGACCAUGUUAGCCUUGAUUCAGACUUUUCAGCAGAAGGAAGACUUGAAUAUGGCACCCUAGAAGAUCUGACUAAAGAUAACAAGAAGAACAGAAGGCGUGGAAUGCUUGGAUGGUUCAAACCUAGGAAGCAAGAGAACAUUGGCGGUCUGUCUAGUAGUAUCGAUAGUGGGAGCUCUGCUAGUGCUUCUCCUGCAUCUUGUUCUUAUUCAUCCCAAAGAAAGGAUUUUCUUCCCGAUUUGAAAGACAAUAGAAGAAAGUCUAUAAGUCGAAAAAGUGAAGAUGCUCUGUCUAUGAUCGAUUCAUUUUCAGAACAAACGCAAGCUGGUGACUUGUUUAGUGCAACAGCUAGAGGACGUCGCCUCCCCCCUACUGGGACAACUAUUACAGACCAGAUGGAUCUUCUCCGAGAGCAGGUUAAGAUGCUGGCAGGGGAGGUAGCAUUGUGUAAGAGUGCCAUGAAACGAUUAUCAGAGCAGGCAGCAGCAAAUCCAGAAGAUUUGCAACUUCUGGAACAAAUACAAAAGCUAAGAUAUGAUAUCAAUGAAAAGAAACACCAAAUGCAUGUUCUUGAGCAGCGUAUGAUUGGUUCUAUUGAAGCUACUCCACGAUCAGCUAAUACCAGUGGUGAACUGUCUCAGACCCUCUCAAAGUUGACUACUCAGUUGAAUGAAAAAACUUUCGAACUUGAGAUUAAAUCAGCAGACAACAGGAUCCUUCAAGAGCAGCUACAAAUGAAGUUAUCUGAAAAUGCAGAAAUGCAGGAGACUAUUCUUCUCCUGAGACAACAGCUUAGUUCUGUGUCCGUUAAAAGCUGCAAUCAACUAGUACAAAACAAUUCCAUGACUGAGGCUUCUAAAGAAAUUGGUGGGUGGCCAGACAUGAAUGGUGGUGCAUCUGAUGAGACUUGUCUUGAUGGAAAUACACCUACAAGCCUGUCAAGUUUGCCAAGCCUAUUUUCACAGGAAGAUUAUAAAGACUAUAAAGGAGGCAAUGCUGAUACAAAUCUACAAUCUCAACUUCUUCUUCAGGCUGCUGAAAUAGAGAAUCUAAAGCAAGAAAAAGUUAGACUCAUGGAAGAGAAGGAUGGACUAGAAAUUCAUAGCCAGAAAUUGGCAGAAGAAGCAUCUUAUGCCAAGGAGUUGGCUUCCGCUGCAGCUGUUGAACUUAGAAACCUGGCUGAGGAAGUCACAAAACUUUCUUACCAAAAUGCGAAGCUGACUGCUGAUUUGGCUGCAGCAAAUGAUCUUGCACAUCAUAAAGCUGAUUCCUUCCAGAGGCCUCUCCUUGAUAAUAGGAAGCGAGAGCUUAGCAGUGGUGACCCUUGCUUAAGAGAAUCUGAAAAUGAAGUUUUGAUCAAGUUACAGAAGGAGCUUGAAUCAAGAUGUCAAUGGGAAAAGUCACUGGAGGCUACUUUAUCUGAGAAAAACAGAAAAGAAGAAGAGUUACUCAAAAGAAUAGAGGAGGCAAAACAUCAAGAAGAAGAUUUAGAAAAUGAGCUUGCAAAUAUGUGGGUCCUUGUUGCAAAAUUGAGGAAGUCUGAUGCCACAAGUAAUGAUUUUCCAGUGGAAGGGAUGGAUGCCUCUUAUUCAUCGAAAAGCAUGGCACACAAAGGUUUAUCAAUGUCUAACGGCUAUGCUUGUAAAAAUUCUGUGGGAAAUGAUACUAGCAAGGUAAGGGACGAUCUUAACACCAUUGAAGAAUUGAGCAUUUCAUAUGAGAAUGAAAAGAGAAAAUGCAAAGAGCUAGAAAUUCUCGUCUCCAGGAUCAAGGGUGAAGAUCUCACUGGUCUAGAUAUUACUUCUCUUGAAGCAUUGCAAAGCCUCCAUGUUGAAGCAAUUACAAAAAUCUGCCAUACAAAGUGCAUAAACCAUCUCUUGUGACCUGUACAGAUCUCCUGACAUAAACCUUAUGAUGUAGAGUUCUCUAUCACUUUUAAAGCAGUAAGGCAAUUUAUCAUUGUGAUGGUGCCUGAUUUCCAAACAUAAACUCCUGGAGCAAGUUGUGUUGUCACACUGAAAGGUGAAGGGGCCAUGGCGGUGGCGGAUAGAGUCCCCACGUUUGCUUUGCUUGGUUUUAUCAGGCACGAUUGGGGAAGAGGGACUCACUCGUGUGCCAUGCAUUGUUUUUGUUUAUGGCGUAGUCCAUGCCGUGUUCAUCUGAGGCGUUUUGUUUUUCGAGGACUGUGUCCCUAUGCUCAGAAGUCCCACCCUUGUUGAUUUUACAGAGUUUUGGCACUGAGCCUUUUGUACAUGUUAACUGGACUUACCUUUUUGGAGGCUUGCUCCCCAUUUUUUUU